AUACGUAGGUGGCAAGCGUUGUCCGGAUUUACUGGGUGUAAAGGGCGUGCAGCCGGGGAAGCAAGUCAGGUGUGAAAUGCAGAGGCUUAACCUCUGAAUUGCAUUUGAAACUGUUUUUCUUGAGUACUGGAGGGGCAAUCGGAAUUCCUAGUGUAGCGGUGAAAUGCGUAGAUAUUAGGAGGAACACCAGUGGCGAAGGCGGAGUGCUGGACAGCAACUGACGGUGAGGCGCGAAAGUGUGGGGAGCAAACAGGAUUAGAUACCCUGGUAGUCCACACUGUAAACGAUGAGUACUAGGUGUGCGGGGACUGACCCCCUGCGUGCCGGCGUUAACACAAUAAGUAUUCCACCUGGGGAGUACGAUCGCAAGGUUGAAACUCAAAUGAAUUGACGGGG
Molecule: ribosomal RNA, 396 nt
Filed under: uncultured bacterium
Lineage: Bacteria
Description: partial 16S ribosomal RNA
Rfam family: Bacterial small subunit ribosomal RNA
Source: RNAcentral